Molecule: ribosomal RNA, 466 nt
Filed under: uncultured bacterium
Lineage: Bacteria
Description: bacterial SSU rRNA
Rfam family: Bacterial small subunit ribosomal RNA
Source: RNAcentral
CCCAGACUCCUACGGGAGGCAGCAGUGAGGAAUAUUGGUCAAUGGGCGAGAGCCUGAACCAGCCAAGUCGCGUGAGGGAAGACGGUCCUAUGGAUUGUAAACCUCUUUUGCCGGGGAGCAAAAAGCGGUACGUGUACCGCAUCGAGAGUACCCGGAGAAAAAGCAUCGGCUAACUCCGUGCCAGCAGCCGCGGUAAUACGGAGGAUCCGAGCGUUAUCCGGAUUUAUUGGGUUUAAAGGGAGCGUAGGUGGAUUGUUAAGUCAGUUGUGAAAGUUUGCGGCUCAACCGUAAAAUUGCAGUUGAAACUGGCAGUCUUGAGUACAGUAGAGGUGGGCGGAAUUCGUGGUGUAGCGGUGAAAUGCAUAGAUAUCACGCAGAACUCCGAUUGCGAAGGCAGCAUACCGGCGCGCAACUGACGCUCAUGCACGAAAGCGUGGGUAUCGAACAGGAUUAGAUACCCCAGUAU